AUUGAACGCUGGCGGAAUGCCUAACACAUGCAAGUCGAGCGGAGUAGCAAUACUCAGCGGCGGACGGGUGAGGAAUACAUAGGAACUUGCCUUUAGGUGGGGGAUAGCUUGGGGAAACUCAAGGUAAUACCGCAUGAUCUCGCAAGAGCAAAGGGGCGCGAGUCUCGCCUUUAGAGAGGCCUAUGUCUGAUUAGCUAGUUGGCGGUGUAAUAGACCACCAAGGCGACGAUCAGCAACUGGUCUGAGAGGACGAUCAGUCACACCGGAACUGAGACACGGGCCGGACUCGUACGGGAGGCAGCAGUGGGGAAUAUUGGACGAUGGGCGAAAGCCUGAUCCAGCAAUUCCGCGUGUGUGAAGAAGGCCUUCGGGUUGUAAAGCACUUUAGUGAGGGAAGAAACAGCUUGGCCACACCAAGCCUUGACGGUACCUCAAGAAUAAGCACCGGCUAACUCUGUGCCAGCCGCCGCGGUAA
This 475-nucleotide ribosomal RNA is filed under the name uncultured bacterium. RNAcentral's name for it is "partial 16S ribosomal RNA". It matches the Rfam family "Bacterial small subunit ribosomal RNA", at positions 30 to 523 of the family's 1533-position model. The record is from RNAcentral.